This 461-nucleotide ribosomal RNA is filed under the name uncultured bacterium. RNAcentral's name for it is "partial 16S ribosomal RNA". It matches the Rfam family "Bacterial small subunit ribosomal RNA", at positions 338 to 795 of the family's 1533-position model. The record is from RNAcentral.
CCUACGGGAGGCUGCAGUGAGGAAUAUUGGUCAAUGGGCGCGAGCCUGAACCAGCCAAGUCGCGUGAGGGAUGACGGUCCUAUGGAUUGUAAACCUCUUUUGCCGGGGAGUAAGCGUGCGUACGUGAACGCGCGUCGAGAGUACCCGGAGAUAAAGCAUCGGCUAACUCCGUGCCAGCAGCCGCGGUAAUACGGAGGAUGCAAGCGUUUUCCGGAUUUAUUGGGUUUAAAGGGAGCGUAGAUGGGUUGUUAAGUCAGUGGUGAAAGUUUGCGGCUCAACCGUAAAAUUGCCCUUGAUACUGUCAGCCUUGAGUACAGUUGAGGUAGGCGGAAUUCGUGGUGUAGCGGUGAAAUGCUUAGAUAUCACGAAGAACUCCGAUUGCGAAGGCAGCCUACUAAGCUACCACUGACGUUGAUGCUCGAAAGUGUGGGUAGCAAACAGGAUUAGAUACCCCUGUAGUC